Molecule: ribosomal RNA, 253 nt
Filed under: uncultured bacterium
Lineage: Bacteria
Description: partial 16S ribosomal RNA
Rfam family: Bacterial small subunit ribosomal RNA
Source: RNAcentral
GACAGAGGGUGCAAACGUUGUUCGGAAUUACUGGGCGUAAAGCGCGUGUAGGCGGCAAGCCAAGUCGGGUGUGAAAGCCCUGGGCUCAACCCAGGAAGUGCAUUCGAUACUGGUCGGCUAGAGUCCGGGAGGGGAUGGUGGAAUUCCCAGUGUAGCGGUGAAAUGCGUAGAUAUUGGGAAGAACACCGGUGGCGAAGGCGGCCAUCUGGACCGGAACUGACGCUGAGGCGCGAAAGCCAGGGGAGCGAAUGGG